Molecule: long non-coding RNA, 2611 nt
Filed under: Lactuca sativa (garden lettuce)
Lineage: Eukaryota; Viridiplantae; Streptophyta; Magnoliopsida; Asterales; Asteraceae
Description: long non-coding RNA (LSAT_LNC003391)
Source: RNAcentral
UUCUAUGUUUAAUAUACCGUUAUUUUAAGGUGUUUGAUUGUUUCAUUUUAUUUAUUUGCUAUAGAAAGCAAGCAAACUUGUUGCAAAAAGAUCACAAAUGGAUGGACAACUUUUUCUCAUCAAGCAUCUUCUUAUAUUAAGAGAACAGAUUGCACCUUCUGACAUAGAAUUCUUAGUCACACACAAGGAACUGGAUUUCUCCCAAUUGUUGGUUAGUAUUUACUUCAACUUCUCCUUUUUCAAAAAAAAAAUAAUAAAUAAAUACAAUAAUCUCUUAGAAGAAUCUGAAAGUUUGUAUUCAUUUGUAUGUGAUCACUUCAGGAGCAUCUGAGACGAAUUCUUAGAGGUCAAACCUCAUUAUUUGAUUGGUCAAGGUCAACUUCUUUGGUAAGGACACUGUCGCCUCGAGUUUUGGAAAGUCAAAUUGAUGCAAAGAAGGUAUACAGUUAGUAAUUCAUGGUUUGUUGCCCGUUUUUUUAUUUAAUUAUAUUGGUUUUUGCAUUUUUGUAUUAUUAAAUUUAGGAACUUGAGAAAAAUCUGAAAGCCACAUGUGAAAGUUUAUCAUGUCAGUCACUAAGCUAGUAGUAGACCCCAUGCUUUCCUUUGUUACAAAGGUUAGUUAUUUAUCUUCUGUCCUUUUCAGCAAAAUAAAUAAGGGGACAACCAGAAUAAACAUUUAUUUAUUUUUUUCUGUUUCUUGAAGGUGACAGCUGUUAGGGUGGCAUUGUCAUCAGGUNNNNNNNNNNNNNNNNNNNNNNNNNNNNNNNNNNNNNNNNNNNNNNNNNNNNNNNNNNNNNNNNNNNNNNNNNNNNNNNNNNNNNNNNNNNNNNNNNNNNCUAUAGAGUACUAUUGAUCAGUUGUGGCCCAUCAGAAGGAGAACAUUGUCAAUACCAACAACUCUAACCGUCAAUGCAAUGUUUAUUUUUUAAUAUUUGUUACUAAAUAUAAACACAUUGAAUUAAAAUAUACCUAAAUUAAAACAUCAAUGAUAGGUAGUAUCGAAAUCAUUUAGAAGAAAGAUCGAAAACCUUCAGAUAUUUUAUGCACUUAAAUUAACUAUGACUCAAACCUCUGUGAUAGGGGUAUCCNAAAAAAAAAAAAGAUACUCGGUCCAAAACACAUAAUACAAUAUUGUUUUGUGGAAUUUGAGAUUUAACGCUAGUAAGAUUUAAAAUGAAAAUGAUUAAAAGCUAGUAAGAUUUAUAAUGAAAAUGAUUAUAAAAAUCAAAGAAAAAUUAAACCAACAGCCAAUUAGAAGAUGCAUGGACCAUUGUAUUUGGAACCCAACGGAUCUACAUAAACAAAACUACAAUUUUCUUAUUUCUAGAACAUAAUAUCGGACACCAUAAUAAUUUUAGGAAGUAAUAAAAAAGAAAGACUAUGUAUGGAACAGAGGAUACAACUUGCUUUGCAUUAGUAACUACAUCUAAAAUACUUUUCCAAUCGUCCUUUUCAAAUAUGGUUUUCCCAAGAAAUUCAAAAAGUUUAAAUUUUUUUAAAACAAAUAUAUUAGUUAUCAGAUACUAUUACUUACCAAUCAGUCUGAAGAAUUUAUUUCCUCAAUCUCAUCAAAGUAGCAACACUUAGCCUCGGGAUUAUAUCAUUCUGUUUAUCAAAAAACAAGAAUUGAAAUUGAUACCAAUAAAAAUAAUAUAUAAAUAUAUAAAUCAACCUACAUACAAACGGUUGUGACAAAUUCAGAGCAGCUACCAGCAAGAUCUCUAGAAACACAAGGUGGUGUUCCAUAUCCAACAGCUGUAACAAUAUCAGGGCUAAAACCUAAUUCAUCGCAUGUAUUUUUUCGAAUCAUUAUGGAUAGCAUUGAAACAAUUGCACCUCCAAAUGAAUGGCCCACUAGCCUUAACCUAAAUCCCUAUAACAAAUUAUUAGUUAUUAUUUUAAAAAUAAAAAGAAAAAGAAAAAAGAAAAUUAAGAAAUUGAGCACUUGAUGUUUGUGAAGGCGGUCAUUAAUGGUUCCCAUUUCAUGAGUGAGAAACCAACGAGCAGCUUCACAAGUUCCAAAAUGAGUGGAAUACCCUUCAAAAUUAACUUCAAUAAAGAUUUGUCCUUUAUCCUGAUUAAGACAAUUAAGACAGAAAUUAAGCUGAUUCAAAAGAGAAAACAAGUCCAAUAUAUGGAUUUUUUUAUCAAUAAGAACAAACACUAAUUUAAUUAACUGAGUCAAAUUGUUUUCUAUUCUGUUAACCAAUUGAAAAAAAAGAUCAAUGAAUGGACCAUACUAAUUUAAGGCAGACAUUAAUGGUUCCCAUUAUUUUUUAAUUCAAUUACUUUUUUUUCUUCCAUUCUUCAGGAAGUUGUUGAGGUUUGCUCUUUAUCCAUCCAAGUAAGUGAAUUUAAUUGCUUCAGAUUUGUUUCUAUGUUUAAUAUACCGUUAUUUUAAGGUGUUUGAUUGUUUCAUUUUAUUUAUUUGCUAUAGAAAGCAAGCAAACUUGUUGCAAAAAGAUCACAAAUGGAUGGACAACUUUUUCUCAUCAAGCAUCUUCUUAUAUUAAGAGAACAGAUUGCACCUUCUGACAUAGAAUUCUCAGUCACACACAAGGAACUGGAUUUCUCCCAAUUGUUGGUUAGUAUCUACUUCAACUUCUCCUUU